GAUGAACGCUAGCGACAGGCUUAACACAUGCAAGUCGAGGGGCAACGGGACGUAGCAAUACGUUGCCGGCGACCGGCGGAUGGGUGAGUAACGCGUAUGCAACCUACCCACGACAGGGGGAUAGCCCGUUGAAAGACGGAUUAAUACCCCAUAAAACAGGGGUUCCGCAUGGGACUAUUUGUUAAAGGGUUCUCCGCGAGGGGGACAUCGGUUGUGGAUGGGCAUGCGUUCCAUUAGGCAGUUGGUGAGGUAACGGCUCACCAAACCGACGAUGGAUAGGGGAACCGAGAGGUUGGUCCCCCACACUGGUACUGAGAUACGGACCAGACUCCUACGGGAGCAGCAGUGAGGAAUUUUGGCAAUGGACGGAAGUCUGAACCAGCCAAGUCGCGUGAAGGAAGGCGGCCCUAAGGGUUGUAAACUUCUUUUGUAAGGGAAUAAAGUGCGUUACGUGUAGUGCAUUGCAAGUACCUUACGAAUAAGGAUCGGCUAACUCCGUG
This 500-nucleotide ribosomal RNA is filed under the name uncultured bacterium. RNAcentral describes it as "bacterial SSU rRNA". It matches the Rfam family "Bacterial small subunit ribosomal RNA", at positions 28 to 507 of the family's 1533-position model. The record is from RNAcentral.